RNAcentral lists this long non-coding RNA (1035 nucleotides) under Gossypium barbadense (sea-island cotton). RNAcentral describes it as "long non-coding RNA (GBAR_LNC018340)". Lineage: Eukaryota; Viridiplantae; Streptophyta; Magnoliopsida; Malvales; Malvaceae. The record is from RNAcentral.
ACGGGUCGAAUUGAGACAAUAUCAAAAUAUCCAGUAAAAUCUAAAAGAAUAAAAAACUCGAUUUUGAUGCGCUAUAAAACGCGAGGGACCAAGUGCAUAAAUAUACCUUUCAUCGCAAAAACACGCGGAUCCCUAAGGUAUUGGGUUGGGUCGGCAGGUAUAACUCAAUACGGCACCGUUUUAGAGCCAUUGACACAGGCCUAAACGGUGUCGUUUUUCCCACUUUAAAUAGCCCUCUUUAAACCCUAAAACCAGUAGCCACUUCUGGGUUUUUUGGUCGCCGCGUAGACUCUAGACCCUCAACUUUCAACUCCGAUUUGGGACGGAGCAAGCAUAGAUUUAGAUGGCGCCGUCGACGGAAGGUAAAUCACUCACACCUCUUUCUUUUCUCUUUUAUUAUUUUUGCAUAAAAAACGAAACAAAGAGGGAAAAAUGAAUGAAAAAAAUUCUAAGAAUCACCUUAAAAAACACUGAUAGUCGAUUUCUUUUUUCUCUUUUUUAUAUUCAGUAUCCAUAAAAAAGGAAAUACAAAGGCUUUCUGUUCUUAUAGCCUCUUUCGAAAAAAACAGAAUAAUAGAUAAAAAUGAAAAUAAAAAAUACAAUUCGUUUAUGUUCUCUGCUGUGCUUUGUUUGUUUGCACGCAGGUACGAUCGUACGGGGGCUGACGUGGCGGCACGAAGGUGGCCGUACGGAGGCGCACGUGGUUGGGGAGAACGACGCUGUGUGGAGGGGAGCCUGCGGGCUGCGACGCUGAGAAUUCUGGAAACCCUAGGGGUUUUUGAAAAUUUUCGUUUUGGGUUUCAAUGUAAUUGGGCCAGGGUAUUUGGGCCAUUUGGGUUUAAUUUUUAAUAGGCUCUGUUAAUUUUGCUGUAGUCUGGACAUGGACUUUAAUUAUGCUUGGUUUAUAUAUUUUUUAUUACGGACCGGACAAAUUGGGCCUAUUACAUAUCUCUGCCGUAAAAAAUAUAUAAGAUGAACACUGUACCUAAAUUAAGUAAACUAAGUUUGGUACAACAAAUUUAUAUAGAUUAUAAG